GCUCAAGCCUUCCCCUGUUCCUCUAUUUAUAGAUGGAGAAGAGACGGAGAUUAUUGUCAGCGAUAGACCUCCCGAGAUAGUUGCAGACUUUUACUCAACUGACUAACAUCUCCCCCUUAGGAAUCGUUCAAUCUACCGGAAUCGUUCAAACUCCUCCGCGACCAGAUUAUCCGUUCCUGAUUAAUCGUUCAAUCGCUCGAGGGGCUCUCCAGAAAAAAACUCUCGCUGAAUGAAUUCCCUCUCUAUCGGAGAACUCACACCCAUUAUUCUCUCUCUUGGUUGACCGAUUCUCUCUCUCUCUCCGCAAUAUUCUCUUUGCUAAAUCUCUCUCUCUCUCGCUCUAUCUCUUCACUCGGCUGAACAAGUUCGAAGAAAGGGAAAAGCGAUGGGUUCAACCAUGGCCGAAGCUGAGUGCAUUUUCUUUCUCUAGUUUUAAUCUUUGAAUUGGGCUUGGAAUCGUUGUCCUCGGUCUCGUUCUUAUGAUUUUCAGUGUUUGCUUCCAUCAUUUCUAAUUCCAGCGAUCCUCUUGCCACCGCGACACCUCAUCUGCUCAGCCAUUCCAGCCGCGGAUCUUUUCUUCAUUAGCGAUCGGUACCUUCGCUUUAGCGAAGUCCAGCAGCUACGGCCACGGAGGAUCUUCAGUCUCUUUCCUCACCUACACUAGAAGACAACUUAGUUUCCUUCAAUUUACGGUCGAUCCGAUGGAAGAAACAGAGCUAACUACGAAGCUCCGAGAUUCUCCAUCUUCGCUCUAACCAAAAAUACCUCACCGCCGAUUCAAAGUUCGUCGGUGGUCUGUGUCGGUGUUCUGUUGAUAUCAGCCACGCCUACCAGGUUGUUGUGUCUUCUCUCAUCUAAUUCCAGAAUCCACUUCAAUUCAUUCUAGAUUUGUUGAUCUCUUUUGUUCUGUUUUGUUCUGCCUUAGGCAGUACGCUUUGGAUCGCUAUGCCGAGUCAAUGGAUAUGUCAUUGCGCUACAACUUCGAAGAAGAGAACGAUUUUCAGAUAUUGAAGUGCAAUCACUCCAUCGUAAAAAAGAGAUAACUCACUGCAAAGGAGUUCUGAGCUAAUCUCCCUCUCGUAGAGAGGGAGGGAAAGAGAGAAAAUCCAUGAAAUUGACUGAAGGCAUAUAAAUGAGGAAUUAAUGGAGGGGAAGUAGAUAGAGCUGAUAACAAAAGGGUGCAAAAUCCUUUGAUCGGAGUAAUAAUAUAACAAUAAGAGAACUCAUGAAAUUGAUUUGAACAGAUUUUCUAUUCGAAAUAUUAAUAUAUUGAUUAA
RNA transcript from Syzygium oleosum, 1277 nucleotides. RefSeq lists it as uncharacterized. Lineage: Eukaryota; Viridiplantae; Streptophyta; Magnoliopsida; Myrtales; Myrtaceae. The transcript has 3 exons. The record is from RefSeq and is a predicted model, not a curated record.